This 254-nucleotide ribosomal RNA is filed under the name uncultured bacterium. Its description in RNAcentral is "partial 16S ribosomal RNA". It matches the Rfam family "Bacterial small subunit ribosomal RNA", at positions 524 to 776 of the family's 1533-position model. The record is from RNAcentral.
UACGGGGGGGGCAAGCGUUGUUCGGAAUUACUGGGCGUAAAGGGCUCGUAGGCGGCCAACUAAGUCGGAUGUGAAAUCCCCAGGCUUAACCUGGGAACUGCAUCCGAUACUGGAUGGCUUGAAUCCGGGAGAGGGAUGCAGAAUUCCAGGUGUAGCGGUGAAAUGCGUAGAUAUCUGGAGGAAAACCGGUGGCGAAGGCGGCAUCCUGGACCGGCAUUGACGCUGAGUGAGCGAAAGCUAGGGGGGCAAACGGG